This 421-nucleotide ribosomal RNA is filed under the name uncultured bacterium. RNAcentral's name for it is "partial 16S ribosomal RNA". It matches the Rfam family "Bacterial small subunit ribosomal RNA", at positions 361 to 774 of the family's 1533-position model. The record is from RNAcentral.
AUAUUGGACAAUGGGGGCAACCCUUAUCCAGCCAUGCCGCGUGUGUGUAGAAGGUCUUCGGAUUGUAAAGCACUUUGAGUUGGGAGGAAGGGCUUUAGGUUAAUACCCUGAAGUUUUGACGUUACCAACAGAAUAAGUCCCGGCUAACUCUGUGCCAGCAGCCGCGGUAAUACAAAUGGUGCAAGCGUUAAUCGGAAUUACUUGGCGUAAAGCGCGCGUAGGUGGUUCAGUAAAAUGGGUGUGAAAUCCCCGGGCUUAACCUGGGAACUGCUUUCAUAACUGCUGAGGUAGAGUACGGUAGAGGGUAGUGGAAUUUCCUGUGUAGCGGUGAAAUGCGUAGAUAUAAGAAGGAACACCAGUGGCGAAGGGGACUACCUGGACUGAUACUGACACUGAGGUGCGAAAGCGUGGGGAGCAAACA